This 253-nucleotide ribosomal RNA is filed under the name uncultured bacterium. RNAcentral describes it as "partial 16S ribosomal RNA". It matches the Rfam family "Bacterial small subunit ribosomal RNA", at positions 524 to 776 of the family's 1533-position model. The record is from RNAcentral.
GACAGAGGGUGCAAACGUUGUUCGGAAUUACUGGGCGUAAAGCGUGUGUAGGCGGCUAUGUAAGUCGGAUGUGAAAGCCCCGGGCUCAACCCGGGAAGUGCACUCGAUACUGCGUAGCUUGAGUCUCGGAGAGGUUGGUGGAAUUCUCGGUGUAGAGGUGAAAUUCGUAGAUAUUAGGAAGAACACCGGUGGCGAAGGCGGCCCACUGGUCCGGUACUGACGCUGAGGUGCGAAAGCGUGGGGAGCAAACAGG